GUGCUUACUCUAGCAUCACAUAUAAUAACAUUGGAACUAUACCGAGAUGAACAUGGACCCAGCAGCACAAAGAUGACAUAAAUUUGUGAAGCAUUCCAUAUUUUC
This is a small nuclear RNA of Vulpes vulpes (red fox), 105 nucleotides long. Lineage: Eukaryota; Metazoa; Chordata; Mammalia; Carnivora; Canidae. The record is from Ensembl.